CCCUUGCAACUCGGCUAUUAUAAGGUGGGUUAGAUCCCAUAUCCUUCCGCUUGAUGGAAAUGAUAUGUAAUCUAGCUUACAGGUCUCUCAACAUCUCCAAGACGGUGCUA
This 110-nucleotide microRNA precursor is filed under the name Caenorhabditis briggsae. RNAcentral describes it as "microRNA cbr-mir-62 precursor". Its record names the gene cbr-mir-62. The stretch from base 25 to 82 matches the Rfam family "mir-62 microRNA precursor family". Lineage: Eukaryota; Metazoa; Nematoda; Chromadorea; Rhabditida; Rhabditidae. The record is from miRBase by way of RNAcentral.